CAUGGGCAGGAUGUUUAUACAGCAAAAUGUAAACAUUUUCCCUGGCCUUCUUUAAAUAAAAAAUCAAGCAAAAAGCCCCGCUAGAUCAGCUCAUACUCAAUCUGAUGCAUUAUGUCCGUUUUAGACAGCUCCUUUUGUAUGGAUAGGACUUUUCAACGUAAAUGCAAAAAGGGGAUUUCAAUCAUGUAUAAUUAUGUUCACACAGGAGAACAGAGGGGAAGAGCGCCCUGAGCCUAGCCGAACACUGAGCACUGAAACUCGGAUGAGGACUUCAGAUCGACGCCCACCAAACUCUCUCCCCUCAGAAUGGUGCUCGAAUCAAGCCCUCUGUGUUGGAUGAGGGAGAGAAGGUUUUCCAGUGAUGACAACAGUUCCUAUGACAACCAGACCUCCACCGGGGGAUUGCGUCUGUCAGACAGUGCUAAUGAUAAUUGAGAGCCUCACACACAACACAGGGCCGGUGGAGGGCAGUUUUUCACAGAUGUAAGGGAAUACAUCAACAGGGAGAACCCAACUAGAAGAAACCGUCAGAGUAGAACACAACAGAGAGAGGGAGGGAGAGUCCGGCCACAGCCAGCUCUGAUACAGGGGGAUUUUCCUGUGGCGAGCCGCUUCGGAAAAAGCAAUUAAGAAUUCCCAAACAGUGCAAAACAAUGGGAGACGUCGUUCUGCAAUGCAAGUUCCGAAUCCAAGCUGGAGUGGGCAAGCGUGCGGGUUUGGCCACAGGAAGCCGUGAAUUCUUCGGAGAACAGAGGGUGUCAGGGCCCAGAACAUGACUCGGGGGGGGGAUACUGUACCUUGUAAUGUCUCAUAAUCCUCCUAGUUGACCCCUGACCCCAGCCUGUGUUUGUAUCAGGCCAUCGACGUGAGAAAUCGUGAUGAGUCGCUCCGGCGGUGUGUUUACCUUCUGGAGUCACGCAAGGAAGGAAAUAAGGCACGGUCUGCUAAAAGUGGCGAAGUGAGAGAGAAUAGCAGCAGUAUUAGAGCAGAGCCGUGAUUCAUCUCACUGUGACUGGCCUCUUGUACCGUUGCACUUGGUUUAUUUAACCUAUUCACUACUGUAGGGACACUAGCUACAGAUCAGCCAAAACAGGGAGUAAGUCUAAAAUAUAUUGUACUGUAUAAAAAUAUAAUGUAUGAGAUUAAUAUUGUCAUUCUGUGAUUAAAGUCUGAUUGAUACUCCGUCAUUGAGUGAAAUGAUCCGUGUACUGCAGUAUGUGGAUACAGCUUGUUUUGGCUUUCACGGCGUAAUAGACCGAACAUGUAUUAUUUUUAUGUAAUAAUUUUCUGCUGAGUGUGUUACAAUCAUUCUAGUUUUUUUGCUAUGCCCAUUGAAAUGAAAUGAGGAAAGAUUUAGUCAUUUCCUUUCUCUGGCUCAUGCAACAAUUAUAAAUGAUAUGUGUAUGUGAUGUUUCUGUGUAAUAAUCAUUUAUUGUAAUACAUUUCUGACUCUCCCAGAUCCAGAUUAUAUCUGGAAGAUCCCUUGUAAGAUGCUUUAGAGGAGAAAUCUCUGCACUCCCAAAUACAUCAUUUUAAUCUUGAACUUGCAUUGAGCUCUUAAAACUGUUGAAACUGGAAUGAGUAUGCAACCGUGGCUAACGCCUGUGAUUAAAAUACAAUGUCCUGGCCUGCCAUCACGCUGUAGCCUUCCACACCGUGGGCUUGUGUGAUUGCACAAUUGUUGUUUUUGAGCAAGUGUCCUUGUUAGUUUUACUCUGUAAAUAAAUAAAUGCACCGAGUUGACAAUUCA
Molecule: long non-coding RNA, 1750 nt
Organism: Coregonus clupeaformis (lake whitefish)
Lineage: Eukaryota; Metazoa; Chordata; Actinopteri; Salmoniformes; Salmonidae
Exons: 5
Source: RefSeq, a predicted model, not a curated record